UACGGAGGGUGCGAGCGUUGUCCGGAUUUAUUGGGCGUAAAGCGCGUGUAGGCGGCCAGGUAGGUCUGGUGUGAAAACUCGAGGCUCAACCUCGAGAGGUCAUCGGAAACCAUCUGGCUAGAGUCCGGAAGAGGAGAGUGGAAUUCCCGGUGUAGCGGUGAAAUGCGCAGAUAUCGGGAAGAACACCUAUGGCGAAGGCAGCUCUCUGGGACGGUACUGACGCUGAGACGCGAAAGCGUGGGGAGCGAACAGG
This 253-nucleotide ribosomal RNA is filed under the name uncultured bacterium. RNAcentral's name for it is "partial 16S ribosomal RNA". It matches the Rfam family "Bacterial small subunit ribosomal RNA", at positions 524 to 776 of the family's 1533-position model. The record is from RNAcentral.